GGGCACUAGGGGGAGCCAGGAUCUGGCCCGGCCUGGGAAGCGCUGGGGCUGCCGCAGGCCCGCCUUGCGGCCUGGCCUCGAGCAGGAUCACUUCCAGAGUUCAUCUCGCUUUUCCAGGACGAAGGGGAGAUCUUCCCCCCGUUUUGUAGAAGCUAAGGAAACCAGAUGUUUUUGAAGACUAAGGAAACCAAAGUCCUCUCGCCCUGCUCCUCUCCGCUUCUUGGUGUUCUGCGUGUUGCCAAACUCCAGCUGCUUUUCCUCUCCCACAGUGAGAAUACACGCUCUAAAUAUAUACCCUCUGAUAUAUACCCUCUGUAUAUAUACCCUUGAUAUACCCUCUAAACGACCUGCCUGUGACAGAAAGUACAGUCUGUUCUCACACAUUAUUACAUAUCAGCAAAAAUUACGAGACCUUACAGAUGUCCCAAAUGCAGGGGAAACUUCAGUCAAAGAUUGCACCUUCUCAGAGUGGUGUUGACUUGUCUAGUUCGUCUCAUACUGAGCACCCUCAAUCAGAACCACAGCUUUACCAAACAAGUCAAGUGGACUGGGGAUGCCAAGUGAAACAACCCCAGGGGAGAAACCCAGAGAUUCAGCGAAGGGAAUGGUAAGAGUAUCUCGAAUUUGUGUGUGUCCUCAGCAACCCGUUCAUUAGAUCAGAUACAGUACUACAGCGCUACCAGAUGUCAAAAGGAGAAGAAAUAAUGUGCGAUUGUGAAGUAGCUGGAAGUUAGAUACAAAUUCUGAGUGCAACAGGUGGAUGAGGAAACUGUUGAAAUGUAUACAUAUAUCUCUAAUGUGUAUGUAGCCACUUUUUGAGUUCUUCAGAAAAUCGUAACAACAACUACAAAAAAGCCCUUCAGAAGGGCCCAGACAGACUUCUACAGUUAACAAAAUGGAUGAGGGAUCUUGUACAGCCAACACAAUGUCAAUAUGAAUGAUGUAAAACGAUGCAAAAAAAUACUGUACUGUGCAUGGUAAAUCAUAUAAUAAGGGAAGCAGUAAAGAGUAAUAUGUCCUAAAGCAUGGCUUCAGUAAAUGAAAACUGAAAUAGGAAAUGCUCCAGAGAGUUAGUAAAAAAAGCAAUGGAAAGCAAAGAUAUGUAAUAAAAGAAAGCUAAAACUGAAUUAC
This 1131-nucleotide long non-coding RNA is filed under the name Anser brachyrhynchus (Pink-footed goose). RNAcentral describes it as "lncRNA (ENSABRG00000007771.1)". The record is from RNAcentral. Lineage: Eukaryota; Metazoa; Chordata; Aves; Anseriformes; Anatidae.